UCUUGGGCCACUCCCAUGACAUAUGGAGGUUCCCAGGCUACGGGUCGAAUUGGAGAUGUAGCCGCCAGCCUACGCCACAGCCAUAGCAACUUGGGAUCCGAGCUGCGUCUGCAACCUACACCACAGCUCAUGGCAAUGCCAGACCCUUAACCCACUGAGCAAGGCCAGGGAUCGAACCUGCAACCUCACAGUUCCUAGUCGGAUUCGUUAACCACUGCGCCACUACGGGAACUCCUUAAUCUUCUCUUCUUACAAAGACAUCUGUCAUAUUGGACUAGGACCCACCCAUAUAUCUGACCUUAUUUUAUCAUUCUUAGCUGUUCAAAGACACUAUCUCUGGAGUGAAGUUAAGGAUCUGGCACUGUCACUGCAGCAGCUCAGGGAUGCUGCUAUGGCAUGGAUUUGUUCCUGGUCCACAAACUUCCACAUGCCAUGGGUGUGGUCAAAAAAUAAUAAUAAAGACCCUGUCUCCAAAUACAGCUAUAUUCUGAGGCACUGUGCAUUAGGACUUCAAAAUGUGAAUUGAGAGGGGACACUAUUCAGCCCAUAACAAUUAUAUUUCAUUCUAAGGGAAUAUUAUCAACCAAGUGAGGAAUGCUAAAUGUCUUAAAAUCUCUGCUUCCUCACUUCUCUACAAGCUGCUUGUCAUUUUAUGGGGUUAUUAAUAUCUCCACCAGCCAUCUAGUUGAUGCUAGGAGGAUGUAACUCAAAAUCAUUUUAUUAUUUACUCAGAUACGUUUUCUUCCUCAUUUAUAAGUAUUGUAAAGUUAAUACAAGUGAGAAAAAAAUUUGUCUGGUAUUUCACCAACCGUAAUGAAGUAUACUCUAACAUUUAUAAUUGCUAGUUCAGUUAAGUACUAUGUAAGAAUUCACAGGUGAUAUUGUUAUAAAAUAAUGAACCAGAUGGAAACGUUUGCCUCAUUACUUCUUGGUUAUUUCCCAUAAAGUUAAUACUUCACUACCUGAAUGGUUUGGAAGAGAACAACUCUUCCUUUGCUGAAUCAGGGAAUCUGAUUAUCACACAUCAUUAAUCUAAUGACAAAGAGCCUUUUUUAAAAAAAUGAGUAGGUCAAACAGUCUUAGUGAGAUCAACUUUUAAUGCUGUACCCAUUAUUUUCACGACACGUAUAUUUUUAAAAUGCCUUCAAAUUUACAGAGCAUUUUCCCAUAGUUUUCCAAAAAAUUUUCACAAGUAUAAAUUAAAUGUGUUCUCAUUCUCAUUUACAGACGAGGAAACUGAGGCUCAGAGGUUUUUUUGUGUGACAUGUCCAGGGAUAUAGUUAAUAAAUAGCACAGCUAGGACUAGAACUGUCUGAUUCUAACCCAGAGCUGACCUAUUUUUUAAUAUCCAUACUAAUAUCAAUUUCUAAAUGAUCUCUCCCAAAAUAUGCCUUCAUGAGAAAAGGAUUUCACGGUCAAAUACAUUUGGAGAAAACUGUCUGCUAAAUUCCUCAUUGGUAGAAUCACAGACUUGUUACUUUUAAAGGCUGUGAGGACUACUGAAUUAAUGAAGUCCAUUUAACAUUGUUUAAUCUAAACUUAUUCCCAGGUUUAAUUAAUCAUUGAAAUUUUUUCCCCAUGUAAUUGCUACUAACAUCCAGAGUACCUGCAUUAAUAACUGUUCUAAAUGAACAACUUUUUAUCAACUAUGUUAAAAGGCCUAGGUGCUACAAAAGGCCAUAUUUCAGAGGAGAGUUUAGGAAAAUUAGAGCAGGAAAGUGUCCUGAAAAGAACAAAGGAAGUGUUUGCUUUUAUUUUUUAGUUUGUAGCCAAAAGAAUUUGCUACGCUAUAAAUGCCAUAAAAGUAAGAACUACCUCUACACUUUUUAUGAGACAUGUAGUACAAUCCACAAUUAAAAAUAUAUGUUUAACGAAGAAAAAUGACAUGAAUUUCUCAUCAGUACUAUCAGCCAUAAACAAUUUUUUAUCAGAAAACAGAAAAAAACUAAGCUUAUUUUUCUAUUUGACAAGCAGCAUGGCACUGAGGUGGUAUUCUGAUGUAAAAAGAUCGUUUGGAAGAAAAAAAGCUUUUUAAGGGUCUUUAAGGGACUUUCUCAGCAUCAUCACUUAAUGACUUGAUCAAUGCCCCAUGCAGAAUUUUCUUAAAGGGUCACAUUAAUGCAAAUGAUGUACCAGAGGGUCUUCAAAUGUAUUAGAAAAUAUUAAUCUUGCAAUUGAAGAGAAGAAAAAUUGUUUCCUAAUGGUACUUUUUUUUCCUUAAUAAUCAAUUUUCAUUCCUUUCCCCCCUUUUCUAGUCAUUCUCAUUCACUUACUUUAACCAACGUGAAUUCCUUAUUUCAGAACUCUUACAGUAAAAGAAUUUCAAAAGUCAGGCAGAGUGGGUGGAAAUUGAUAGCGUGAUAUAUAAAUUCUUCAGAUGAGUAUUAAUUUAGCAGAUUCUGCUCCUCUCUCCCUCUACCAAAGUGGAACAGAAAGCUGAAAUCUAAAGCGUUUAAUUAUACCACAUUUCAGUCAGUUCACUAGAUUAUAUCCCUUAGCUCCAUGAAUUGCCCAUGAGUGAGAACUCUGCUUGUGACAAAAGGUCAAAAACAAUUUUGAACAAUACAAUUUUUCUUCAAAUAUUUAGUUCUUGCCUGCAUAAUUAUCUACAUGUACACAUGUGUAUACACACACACACACCACAUACAUGGAGUUUAGCAACUUCUCUUUCAAAAAAUAACAUUGUCAUUGGUAAGAGAAUUUGAAAAGCCAGCAGCCAUUGAGAAAAUCUGAAAACAGCUUGGGGACUACCAAAUUAUAGCACACUUGGAUUUAAUCCUAGAGCUUGCUCCCUGUUACCCUUAUCCACAAAUACUAGGAAUUUCAUCUUGCUCUAACUGCAAUGCCAGAUCCAAGACAUGUCUGUGACCUCCACCACAGCUCAUGGCAACACCAAGUCCUUAACCCACUGAGUGAGGCUAAGGACCGAACCCAUAUCCUCAUGGAUACUAGUCGGGUUUGUAACCUGCUGAGCCACAACAGGAACUCUUUACACGCAAGGAAAUAUUUAACGGCUCAUCUGCAGUUUUAGGAGAGUGAAGCAGGAAUGAAAAAUUGGGUCGGUUUCAAUUCAAAUAGAUGUUGUCGUACAUGAGUCUCUUUAAACUAAAAACAGAAAAGCUAGGAAUCUGUUCUGUGCAGUUUUGGCAAUCGACGUU
RNAcentral lists this long non-coding RNA (3158 nucleotides) under Sus scrofa (pig). RNAcentral describes it as "lncRNA (ENSSSCG00055028523.1)". Lineage: Eukaryota; Metazoa; Chordata; Mammalia; Artiodactyla; Suidae. The record is from RNAcentral.